AGUCCCGUGGUGGAGAAACACGUUGGAUUGCAAAUCCAGAGACGCAGAGUAAUACGCUGCCGGGGCUU
Molecule: transfer RNA, 68 nt
Filed under: Rhinichthys osculus thermalis
Lineage: Eukaryota; Metazoa; Chordata; Actinopteri; Cypriniformes; Leuciscidae
Description: tRNA-Cys
Rfam family: tRNA
About the family: Transfer RNA (tRNA) molecules are approximately 80 nucleotides in length. Their secondary structure includes four short double-helical elements and three loops (D, anti-codon, and T loops).
Source: RNAcentral